RNAcentral lists this ribosomal RNA (463 nucleotides) under uncultured bacterium. Its description in RNAcentral is "partial 16S ribosomal RNA". It matches the Rfam family "Bacterial small subunit ribosomal RNA", at positions 28 to 507 of the family's 1533-position model. The record is from RNAcentral.
GAUGAACGCUGGCAGCAUGCUUAACACAUGCAAGUCGAGGGGGGAGUGGUGCUUGCACCAUGGUAACCAUGGCGGACGGGUGAGUAACGCGUGAGGAACUUACCUGCGGGACCGGGAUAACAGCCGGAAAGUGCUGAAAAGACCGGAUACGGAAAUUAAUCAGCCUAGAGUAGUGAGGAAACGAGACGCCUGCGGAGCGCCUUGCGGUCUAUUAGCUAGGUGGAGGGGUAACGGCCCACCAAGGCGACGCUAGGUCGCCGGCAUGAGUGGGUGGACGGCCACACGGCGACGGGGAUACGGCGCUGACUCCUACGGGAGGCAGCAGUGGGGCAUAUUGGACAACGGGGGCAGCCCUGAUCCAGCAUUUCGGUCGUCACGAAGACGGUUUUGGGAUUGUAGUGGGCUUUCAUCAGGGAAGAAGGAAGUGACGGUACCUGCAGAAGAAGCGACGGCUAACUACGUG